UACGGGGGGGGCAAGCGUUGUUCGGAAUUACUGGGCGUAAAGGGCUCGUAGGUGGCCAACUAAGUCGGACGUGAAAUCCCUCAGCUUAACUGGGGAACUGCGUCCGAUACUGGAUGGCUCGAGUUUGGGAGAGGGAUGCGGAAUUCCAGGUGUAGCGGUGAAAUGCGUAGAUAUCUGGAGGAACACCGGUGGCGAAGGCGGCAUCCUGGACCAACACUGACACUGAAGAGCGAAAGCCAGGGGAGCAAACGGG
RNAcentral lists this ribosomal RNA (253 nucleotides) under uncultured bacterium. RNAcentral's name for it is "partial 16S ribosomal RNA". It matches the Rfam family "Bacterial small subunit ribosomal RNA", at positions 524 to 776 of the family's 1533-position model. The record is from RNAcentral.